This 74-nucleotide transfer RNA is filed under the name Helicobacter pylori. Its description in RNAcentral is "tRNA-Glu". It matches the Rfam family "tRNA". Rfam says of the family: Transfer RNA (tRNA) molecules are approximately 80 nucleotides in length. Their secondary structure includes four short double-helical elements and three loops (D, anti-codon, and T loops). The record is from RNAcentral. Lineage: Bacteria; Pseudomonadati; Campylobacterota; Epsilonproteobacteria; Campylobacterales; Helicobacteraceae. RNAcentral also lists the same sequence under 20 other names.
UGGCCCCGUGGUCAAGCGGUUAAGACACCGCCCUUUCACGGCGGUAACACGGGUUCGAGUCCCGUCGGGGUCAU